This 253-nucleotide ribosomal RNA is filed under the name uncultured bacterium. Its description in RNAcentral is "partial 16S ribosomal RNA". It matches the Rfam family "Bacterial small subunit ribosomal RNA", at positions 524 to 776 of the family's 1533-position model. The record is from RNAcentral.
UACGAGUACCCCAAGCGUUAUCCGGAAUCAUUGGGCGUAAAGGGUGUGUAGGCGGUCUGGUUAGUCUUCUGUCAAAAUUCUGGGCUCAACCCGGAACCUGCGGAGGAAACGGCCAGACUCGAGGGUGCGAGAGGUGAAUGGAACUCAUGGAGUAGGGGUGAAAUCCGUUGAUAUCAUGGGGAACACCAAAGGCGAAGGCAAUUCGCUGGCGCAUUUCUGACGCUGAAACACGAAAGCGUGGGUAGCGAACGGG